AUGCUCACUUCAGCAGCACAUAUACUAACCCUGGAACAAUACAGAGAAGAUGAACAUAGCCCCUGUGCAAGGGUGACAUGAAAAUUUGUGAAGCACUCCAUAUUUUU
Sorex araneus (European shrew) is the source of this 107-nucleotide small nuclear RNA. The record is from RefSeq and is a predicted model, not a curated record. NCBI's taxonomy places the organism in Eukaryota, Metazoa, Chordata, Mammalia, Eulipotyphla, Soricidae.